This is an RNA transcript of Meriones unguiculatus (Mongolian gerbil), 3787 nucleotides long. It is a transcript of the gene named acyl-CoA dehydrogenase family member 10, with no coding region annotated. The record is from RefSeq and is a predicted model, not a curated record. The transcript is spliced from 23 exons. NCBI's taxonomy places the organism in Eukaryota, Metazoa, Chordata, Mammalia, Rodentia, Muridae.
UGCUGACCCUUGGCUGACCGUCUCUAGGAGAGUGCUCGGUCUACAGAGAAUCAGUCUGUUUGCGUUCGAACCUUCGCUUCUUGUGUCCCGCCCACUCAACGGCAGGGUUUGCCCAGGAUCUAAGAUUUCCUGGGCUUUCGACCUCGGGGCUGAAACUUUAUGCAGCCUCGGCCUCACCAUGUACACAUGGAGGCUUUUCCAGCCUUCCUCUCUCCAUUGGGCAUGGAGUACCGCUGCCCUGAAACACACCCUGGGCAGGCAGCAGGGAGCCUUCCGAUGGACACACUCUGGUGGCCACAGCUACAGAGCAGUCAUCUUUGACAUGGGUGGAGUCCUCGUGCCUUCUCCAGGGACAGUGGCUGCCCAAUGGGAGGUGCAGAAUCAUGUCCCUUCUGGAACUAUAUUGAAGGCUUUGAUCAGAGAUGGUGACAGUGGGCCCUGGAUGAGGUUUAUGAGAGGAGAGAUGACAACAGAGGGCUUCUUGGAAGAAUUCGGGAGACUGUACUCUGAAAUUGCAAAGACUUCUGUGCCCGUGAGCUCAUUUUUCUCUCUGCUGACCAGUGAGCAAGUGGCCAAGCAGUUCCCAGUGAUGACACAGGCUAUCUCUCGGAUCAGAGCAGAGGGCCUUCAGACUGCAGUCUUGACCAAUAAUUUUUAUCUUUCCAAUGGGAAAAGCUUUUUGCCCCUGGACCGGAAACAGUUUGAUGUGGUGGUGGAGUCCUGCCUGGAAGGCAUCUGCAAGCCAGACCCCAGGAUAUUCCAGCUGUGCCUGCAGCGGCUGAACCUGCAGCCCUCAGAGACCAUUUUUCUUGAUGAUCUAGGACCAAAUCUAAAAGCAGCUGCCAGCCUGGGCAUUCACACCAUUAAGGUUGCCAAUCCUGAGACAGCAGUGAAGGAGUUGGAAGCUCUUCUGGGUUUCCCGUUGCGCGUGGGUGUCCCCAACACUCGUCCUGUGAGGAAGACCAUGGAGAUUCCAGAAGAUGCCUUGGAGAAGUACCUGAAGGGCUUGCUAGGGACCCACUACUCAGGCCCCAUGGAGCUCCUUCAGUUUGAUCAUGGACAGUCAAAUCCAACCUAUUACAUCAGGCUGGGUAACCGUCAGCUGGUUCUAAGGAAGAAACCCCCCGGGCCCCUCCUUCCCUCUGCCCAUGCCAUAGAGAGAGAGUUCAGAGUAAUGAAAGCCCUUGGGAAUGCUGGUGUCCCUGUCCCCACUGUCCUUGACCUCUGUGAAGACCCAAGCGUCAUCGGCACCCCCUUCUACUUGAUGGAGUACUGCCCGGGCAUCAUCUACAAAGACCCCUCCCUGCCUGGCUUGGAGCCCAGCCAGCGGCAAGCCAUAUACAAUGCUAUGAACCAAGUCCUGUGCAGAAUUCACAGUGUGGACCUGCAGGCUGGGGGCCUGGAGAGCUUCGGGAAGCCAGGGGACUAUAUUCCUCGACAGGUGAAAACCUGGACCAAGCAGUACCGAGCAGCCGAAACCAGCACCAUCCCAGCAAUGGAGAGGCUUAUCCAGUGGCUGCCACUGCACCUUCCCAGGCAACAGAGAACCACAGUGGUGCACGGUGACUUCAGGCUGGACAACCUGAUAUUCCAUCCUGAAAAGGCGGAGGUGCUCGCUGUCCUGGACUGGGAACUUUCCACCUUAGGGGACCCCUUUGCUGACGUGGCCUAUAGCUGCCUGGCUCACUACCUGCCAUCCAGCUUUCCCAUGCUGAGAGGGUUCAGGGACCAGGAUGUGACGGAGCUGGGCAUCCCCACUGCGGAGGAGUACUUCAGGAAGUACUGUCUUCGUAUGGACCUCCCGCCCAUUGACAACUGGAGCUUCUACAUGGCUUUCUCAUUUUUCCGCGUGGCUGCGAUUCUACAGGGCGUCUACAAGCGGUCACUCACAGGCCAGGCAAGCUCGGCCACAGCCGAACAAAGCGGAAAGCUCACGGAGUCCAUGGCUGAGCUGGCAUGGGACUUUGCCACCAAAGAAGGGUUCCGGGUUUUCAAGGCGACGCCAUCCGCCAAACCACUAAUGGGAUCCUACCAUUCAUGGGCUGGGCAGUCGUCCCCAAGGACCACCUCGGGUGUGAGACAUUACAGCAGCGUAGCAGCUGCUGCCCCUUCUCACGAGGCAAAGGGAGGCCUGAUCAUCUCUCCAGAGGGCCUGUCUCCUCGAGUCAGAAAGCUGUACGACCAGCUGUUACGGUUUAUGGAACUGAAUGUGUACCCCGCGGAGGAGGAGCUGCAGAGACACCAAGCCUCGGCCGACAGGUGGCGCCCUUCCCCGCUGAUCGAAGAGCUCAAGGAGAAAGCCAAGGCUGAAGGGCUUUGGAACCUUUUCCUGCCCUUGGAGACAGAUCCUGAGAAAAAGUAUGGUGCAGGGCUGACAAACUUGGAAUAUGCACAUCUGUGUGAAGUGAUGGGCAUGUGUUUCUAUGCUCCUGAGAUAUUUAAUUGUUCUGCCCCAGAUACGGGGAAUAUGGAGAUCCUGCUGCAGUACGGCACCGAGGAGCAGAAGGCCCGCUGGCUGGUACCGCUGCUAGAAGGCAGGAUCCGUUCCUGCUUCGCCAUGACUGAGCCUCAGGUAGCCUCCUCAGACGCCUCUAAUAUCGAGGCUUCCAUCAGAGAGGAAGAUGGCUGCUAUGUCAUAAAUGGUCACAAGUGGUGGAGCUCAGGCAUCCUGGAUCCACGCUGCAAACUUUGUGUGUUCAUGGGAAAAACAGACCCUCAGGCGCAGAGGCACCAGCAGCAGUCCAUGCUCUUGGUUCCCAUGGACACUCCCGGAAUCAAAGUCAUCCGGCCUCUGUCGGUGUUUGGGUUGGAGGAUCCUCCAGGAGGCCACGGUGAAGCACAGUUCAAGGACGUGCGUGUGCCCAAGGAAAACAUACUUGUGGGCCCUGGCCGAGGCUUCGAGAUUGCCCAGGGCCGGCUGGGGCCUGGCCGGAUCCAUCACUGCAUGAGGUUGAUCGGGUAUGCAGAGAGGGCCCUAUCGCUGCUGAAAACACGUGCGAUGUCCCGUACGACCUUCGGGAAACCGCUCAUAGAGCAUGGCACCAUCAUGGCUGACAUUGCCCAGUCACGUGUGGACAUCGAGCAGGCACGGCUGCUGGUGCUGAAAGCUGCCCACCUCAUGGAUGUGGCAGGAAACAAGGCUGCAGCCUUAGAGAUUGCCAUGAUUAAAAUGGUAGCCCCUUCCAUGGCCUGUCGCGUAAUUGACCGAGCUAUUCAGUGCAUUCUGCUCGCAAGUAGCUGGCCUCAGGCUCAAGGGAGCCCUGCUGGUGCCUCCUUCCGCAUCCUGACACCUGAGCUCACGCAGAACCUCCUCAGUAGCAGGAGCAACCUGCUAGAAUGGGCUAGGCCUUUGGAGGAGCUGGCCUAAGCAGCAACUACCCCCUGGCUCAGUUCUAUGCCUGGGCACGAGCCCUGCGCAUUGCUGACGGCCCUGAUGAGGUACACCAGCUGACAGUGGCUAGGAGGGAACUGAAGAAUCGUGCCAGGCUGCAGGAGCCAGCGGCGCCCAGAGAGUAGAUGCUGUGUUUGGAAAGGCCUGGCUGUAGGAAUAUGGACACUUGUGUGCUGUGAUCUCUCCACAAACAAUGGAGCUUCUAGGAAAGCAGAGAGCGUGGGACACAUCAGAUGCUCCUGAAAACUGGGAUGAAAUCAUUCUGUGACCACUGGAGUCAUCAUAGAAUACUAACUCGAUGCCCUGUUUGAAUACGGAUAUGGGGACACAAAGGGUCUGUGUACUUCCUCUUUUCACAUGAGGGACAUGGGAAUAAAGGCUCCUACAGCCCCUGUG